UACGUAGGGUGCAAGCGUUAAUCGGAAUUACUGGGCGUAAAGCGUGUGCAGGCGGUUUGUUAAGACAGGUGUGAAAUCCCCGGGCUUAACCUGGGAAUUGCGCUUGUUACUGGCAAGCUAGAGUGCGUCAGAGGGAGGUGGAAUUCCACGUGUAGCAGUGAAAUGCGUAGAGAUGUGGAGGAACACCGAUGGCGAAGGCAGCCUCCUGGGAUGACACUGACGCUCAUACACGAAAGCGUGGGGAGCAAACAGG
This 253-nucleotide ribosomal RNA is filed under the name uncultured bacterium. RNAcentral describes it as "partial 16S ribosomal RNA". It matches the Rfam family "Bacterial small subunit ribosomal RNA", at positions 524 to 776 of the family's 1533-position model. The record is from RNAcentral.